RNAcentral lists this unclassified non-coding RNA (400 nucleotides) under uncultured bacterium. RNAcentral describes it as "contains 16S-23S intergenic spacer region". The stretch from base 1 to 126 matches the Rfam family "5.8S ribosomal RNA", at positions 29 to 154 of the family's 154-position model. The record is from RNAcentral.
CGCAUCGAUGAAGAACGCAGCGAAAUGCGAUACGUAAUGUGAAUUGCAGAAUUCAGUGAAUCAUCGAAUCUUUGAACGCAUAUUGCGCUCUCUGGUAUUCCGGAGAGCAUGCUUGUUUGAGUAUCAGUAAACACCUCAACUCCCUUUUUCUUUUUUGGAAUCGGGGAGCUGGACUUGAGUGAUCCCAACACUUUUCUCACUGGAAAGUGGCGGGUCACUUGAAAUGCAGGUGCAGCUGGACUUUUCUCUGAGCUAUAAGCAUAUCUAUUUAGUCUGCCUAAAAACCAGAUUAUUACCUUUGCUGCAGCUAACAUAAAGGAGAAUUGUUCUUGUGCUGACUGAUGCAGGAUUCACAGAGACAGCUUUGCGGCUGACUUUGUAAACUCGAUCUCAAAUCAAG